UACAGAGGGUGCAAACGUUGCUCGGAAUUAUUGGGCGUAAAGAGCUCGUAGGCGGUUUGUCGCGUCUGCUGUGAAAACCCGAGGCUCAACCUCGGGCCUGCAGUGGGUACGGGCAGACUAGAGUGCGGUAGGGGAGAUUGGAAUUCCUGGUGUAGCGGUGGAAUGCGCGGAUAUCAGGAGGAACACCAAUGGCGAAGGCAGAUCUCUGGGCCGUAACUGACGCUGAGGAGCGAAAGCAUGGGGAGCGAACAGG
This 253-nucleotide ribosomal RNA is filed under the name uncultured bacterium. Its description in RNAcentral is "partial 16S ribosomal RNA". It matches the Rfam family "Bacterial small subunit ribosomal RNA", at positions 524 to 776 of the family's 1533-position model. The record is from RNAcentral.